CCUUGUGACGGCACACGUCCAGUGUUGAACUUUGGAUCGCCGAAAAGUGAGUACAGAAUUUCAAAGGAUGGCUAAGCUUGCGCCAACUGUUGAUGACUUGAUCGAGGAUCUACAAUGUCCGGUGUGUUUGGAAGUUUUGCAAGAUCCAGUAUCCCAGGGCUGUGGUCACAACCUCUGUAAGCUCUGUAUGGAGAAAGUUUGUGCUGGAAAUGCUUACGUCUCCUGUCCAGUUUGCAGGAAGACAUUUCCCGCCAAAGAUUAUGCAGUCAAUAAACUGCUUACCAUGUUAUUGGAAAAUGUUCAGAAGUCGCUACUAGACAAGUCCGAGAACCCGCUGCCGUCCAACAUGUGCCCGGAGCAUAUCGAGCCACUUAAAUUGUUCUGCAAAACCGAUGGCAACCUGGGUUGUGUUGUAUGCAUGGUGUCCUCUGUUCAUGAGGAUCAUAUAUUCAUUCCAGUACAGGAAGCAGUUACCACGUACCGGAAAGAUCUGAAUAUAACCUUGAGCGCUCUAACUUUGUUAUCAAAAAAUCUCUCCGAACUGCAAAACCAACAGGAUGAGAAGAUCAGUAGCAUUCAGGAAAUAUCCAACCGUCUGGAGCAGCAUAUUAAGACACAGUUUGCCAAGCUAUACGAGAGCCUUCAGAUGAUGGAACAGCAGUGCAUCCAAGAUUUGAAACAAGAAGCAUUUCAAGCACUUAAAAAGAUGAAGGAAAACUUGUGUGGAAUUACAGAAAAGAAGAACCGUUCAGCAACAGAUGGUCGCCCUUAAAUACAGGAUGGAGGAGAUUGAUCCUUUACGCUUUCUAACAGGUAUCAAGGAUGACACAGAUAAGUUUGCAAAAAGCCAAACGAUUGUUUUGUCUGAGUUGACACCGGUGACCCAUAGCCUUAGUCCAGGGAAGUUCCAUGACUUUCUACAUUAUGAUAACUGGAAUGACUUUAAAGUUCAUCUUAGACCUGGUA
Molecule: RNA transcript, 966 nt
Organism: Protopterus annectens (West African lungfish)
Lineage: Eukaryota; Metazoa; Chordata; Ceratodontiformes; Protopteridae
Gene name: nuclear factor 7, ovary-like
Exons: 5
Source: RefSeq, a predicted model, not a curated record